UGUUUCUCUCUCUCAGUAUGUAUGUUUGUCACCUGAAAUGCAACGAAGACAUCACACAGUAAAACAAAGAGCCUUUGAAGUCUUAAGUGCGGGCAAUUUACUCAGGAAAGAUCAGAGGGGUUAGCCAUAAAUAAAUACCUUUGACCUCAAGGGUGUGAAGAUAAUAAAAGCCCAGGGGGUUAGGAGGACCAUUGUGUUUUCUGAAAACAGCUAGUUUUGGUUUAAGUGGAAAUUUACAGAGAAGGAGCCUUGUAAGAAGUGGGGGUGAUAACAGUAUAAUAAGGCUGUCUGUUUUCAGUGUGUUUCAGGUUUGUUGUGUUUCAGGGUAACUGCUGAAACAGUGAACGCACCUCUUUAAGGAAAAUAAACUUCUUUCCUUAAAUAGAAUUUGAUUCCUUGUCUCUUACACUGAGAUGCUAUUUGUUAGUAAUUGUUUUUGCCAUAACAAUUUGGUGUCAGAAUAGUGGGAUCUCACGGUGGUUUCUUCUGGUCCUGAGCGGAUUUGACGAAGUGAUCAUCUCAGAGCACCAGGCUCUGGUCUUACCUCGAAAAUUGAGAGAGAAGAGCCAAAGAUGAGAUCAGAAAGAACCCGGUGGCAGUAAAAGCAUCUCAGGUGAAAGCUGGCCAGAGGAAGGUUGCUGAGACGUUUCUGCAUAAGAUCAGGCCGGGGGAUUACGUGGUAAUUCGUGACCUGAGGAGGAAGAACUGGAGGGCGAAACGGUGACGAGGGCCAUUCCAAGUUUUGCUGAGAACACACACGGCAGUGAAGGUGGGAGAGAGAGCUACGUGGGUGCACACCAGCCACUGCAGGAGGGUUCCGCCCAUAUCGGAAGGGCAACAGGAGGAGGAGCCUCAGCAACAACAACAACAACAAGUUCAAGAAUAAGCCUCAAGAUCGAGCUCAAACACCAAGUGCAAGAGCAAGGUCACUCAGAAGGAGUGAUAAGGCCGGUGAGCAGAGUAAAGCCAUUUGUGCAGCCACAACAAGAGACAUUGCAAAGAGCUGCAAUCACUAGACAAGAUGGAUAGUUCAAGACCGUGGUACCCAUUCAGACUGCCAGGAAUGUGUGGACUUUGUAAGACUACAUUCAUUUUGACUUUGCAACAAUUGAACCCAUGAGAGAGGCCGUAAGAGAACCCGAGCGGACUGACAACCUGUGGGCCGGAUGGGUUUAUGUCUUUGUGGGGAGGAUGGAUGUACUGGAUAAUUCAAACUGUUCUGCCAAUUGUAGUGAUAGGAAUUCUGAUCAUGUUUUGCUUGCAAUGAAUUAUGAGAUGUAUUUCCAGCUUAGUACAGAGAUAGGUCAAGGCUGGGACACCCAUACAAGCAGUAAAACUGACCACUUAUCCAAUAGAUAGUGAACACAAUUGUGAUGAUUAUGAGAGUGACGAGAGUGACAACAUUUACACAAAAUGUUAAGAUUGAUCAGGUAUACGAAAGUCAGACAUGAGGAGUAUAACUGUGAUGAAAUGACUUGAAACAAUUAUAAUAAUUUACGUUUUCGAUAUUAUAAUCAUGUGUGAGUUUGCAUAGAAUUAAAAACAAGUGAGUUUUUAAGUUGUUAUAAUCAAAACUAAUGUUAAUCCAAAUUGUUUAUCAGAGAAUGAUAAAGAGGAGGAAUUCUUGUAAAAAAAAUUAUAUUUUACUCUUUCUUAUUUACUUAGACAUUUAGUGGGUUUUCAUAUAUUUUUAUUUUUUCCUUUUGAUUUAACUUGUGUUUCUCUCUCAGUAUGUAUGUUUGUCUGCUGAACAUGUAUGUUUUAACUGCUGAAACAGUGAACGCACCUCUUUAAGGAAAAUAAACUUCUUUCCUUAAAUAGAA
Molecule: long non-coding RNA, 1823 nt
Organism: Carassius auratus (goldfish)
Lineage: Eukaryota; Metazoa; Chordata; Actinopteri; Cypriniformes; Cyprinidae
Exons: 2
Source: RefSeq, a predicted model, not a curated record